Molecule: ribosomal RNA, 478 nt
Filed under: Enterococcus casseliflavus
Lineage: Bacteria; Bacillati; Bacillota; Bacilli; Lactobacillales; Enterococcaceae
Description: bacterial SSU rRNA
Rfam family: Bacterial small subunit ribosomal RNA
Source: RNAcentral
CUAUCUGCAGUCGAACGCUUUUUCUUUCCCGGAGCUUGCUCCACCGAAAGAAAAAGAGUGGCGAACGGGUGAGUAACACGUGGGUAACCUGCCCAUCAGAAGGGGAUAACACUUGGAAACAGGUGCUAAUACCGUAUAACACUAUUUUCCGCAUGGAAGAAAGUUGAAAGGCGCUUUUGCGUCACUGAUGGAUGGACCCGCGGUGCAUUAGCUAGUUGGUGAGGUAACGGCUCACCAAGGCAACGAUGCAUAGCCGACCUGAGAGGGUGAUCGGCCACACUGGGACUGAGACACGGCCCAGACUCCUACGGGAGGCAGCAGUAGGGAAUCUUCGGCAAUGGACGAAAGUCUGACCGAGCAACGCCGCGUGAGUGAAGAAGGUUUUCGGAUCGUAAAACUCUGUUGUUAGAGAAGAACAUGGAUGAGAGUAAAAUGUUCAUCCCUUGACGGUAUCUAACCAGAAAGCCACGGCUAACUA